This is a long non-coding RNA of Phacochoerus africanus (Common warthog), 1866 nucleotides long. RefSeq lists it as uncharacterized. The transcript is spliced from 4 exons. The record is from RefSeq and is a predicted model, not a curated record. NCBI's taxonomy places the organism in Eukaryota, Metazoa, Chordata, Mammalia, Artiodactyla, Suidae.
AACUAGGAAUCACAAGGUUGUGGGUUCAAUCCCUGGCCUCGCUCAGAGGUGAGAAAACCACAUUCACUAAUAGGAAGAAAACUGAAUAUAAGAAAACCAAAUAUAGGAAGAAUCUUACAAUGCACAGAUGACUUUAUUCCAGGAAUUCAUGAAUGGUGUAGUAGAACAAUUUAAUGAUCUCAACAGAUGAAGAAAGACAUGUAAUAAGAUAUAGGGCAUGAAGACAGAGUCCUCCCAUGACGUAGAAAUCACUAAGUUUGCCUGGGAAAACUGAGAUUAACAGAACUUGGUACCUUACCCAAAGUCACACAAACAAUUGGCAAACUGACAUAAAAAGCUAGAAUUAACCUGAUUUCAAGCGUAUACAAACACAUGGACACUGGCUCUCUCUCACACACACACACACACAAACUCUACGUAUUUAUGGCACGAUUUUAACACGCCAUGGAUCUCGGUGGCAGGUACAUAGCAGAACAUUUUACUAUUCUUUCGACUUUUCUGUAUGGUUGAAAAAUUUCAGAUGAAACCUUGGGAAAUAGAAUACUCCAAUGCUUAGCACAGACCCAAGUGUCUAUCGACUUGAGGCCCCUGUAUGUUCCAACCCCCUCAACCUCUCCCAAGGAGUCCCACACAGCCCCCCACCCUGCCCUUCGCUGUCGCGCCCAUUCGCAGUUCCCCACACACCUAUUUUCACCCGGACCACGGGCCCUUCCGACGCUCAGAUUCCGACCACAGGAAUCCCAGAUGGCUAAGCCCCAGCCCUAGCCUCACCAACCGUAUCCAGAUGAGUCCCUUAGUCAUGGGCUCUUCCAACGCCUCCCUCCACCUCCCGGGGGGCGAUCCGGAGCCAACCUGUCACUGUCAACACCAAUAGUUUCUUCCUACGGCCACUCCUCAACACUGAUGGAGGUCCGAGCCACCCACAAGGCCCCCCAAACUCGGAGGCUGCCGUAAACAACAAUCCACCACGAGUACCCACCACAAACCACAUCUUAAGUCCUGGAAUUCCCACCACGCGGGAUUCUUAAAGCCGCUCGCGGAAAUCUAAAACCAAUAUUGUGACCUCAAGUCCGGGGAAGCCAAGCUUCCUACGCCACUUCCGCUGACGUCGGGGACAGGCCACCUCCACACCUCAGAUUCAAGGCCCCUUGGGAAGUGAGCAUUAGAUUCAGGUGCCUGGCGGAAUGAUUGCCGUACAACAUGGCCGCGCCAACGUCGUUUCUUUAGGUUGGGAGUGGCCAUCUUGGACCUUGCGCCGCCAUUUUGGAUCAUGCGCCGCUGGGAGAGUGAGGUGGCCAUUCCGGCUGACGAAGCCGAAAAGGUGCGGAUUCGAUGACUUCUCUUCAAGAUUUUUCUUCUCCGGCUCUUCCAUCUCCUCAGCUGCUGCCAGCACCGUCGCGCCUGCUCAGGAGCAUUUCAGCGCUCUAGCCCCCAGCCUUCCGACCUGACUGGGGAGCGAAACCCACCACAGAGCUGGCCUGAGCGGAGGCCGGCCGCGCCGUCUCGUCGCCUCUGGAUGUGCUUCGCGAGGAGAGACGGCGGCGAGCGGGAAGUUGGAGCAGAAAAUGGAAGUGCCGGCUGUCGUAUCUGAGAUCACUGCAGAAAUGUUCUUAGCAGUCAUCUACUAAGAACCUAUUUCAUACCCAUCUCUGGGAAAAGCCAGUUUCCUGAGAUUAAAGCCUGUGAGGAAGGUCUCUAUCAACUGUCCUUGUUUAUGGAUCCUGUUUUCCUGCUUCUCUGCACACCUGGGAACAGGAGGGGAAGAGAGCAAGAAUCAAGAAGUAAGCAAAGAAGUAAGAAAAUUACAGGACAUGAAAAAUGGUAUGGAGGAAGUGAUAGAGUAGCAGUAAGUCAAUCUUUUUUUUU